This 506-nucleotide ribosomal RNA is filed under the name uncultured bacterium. RNAcentral's name for it is "partial 16S ribosomal RNA". It matches the Rfam family "Bacterial small subunit ribosomal RNA", at positions 29 to 523 of the family's 1533-position model. The record is from RNAcentral.
AGUGAACGCUAGCGGUAGGCCUAACACAUGCAAGUCGAACGGCAGCACAGGAGAGCUUGCUCUCUGGGUGGCGAGUGGCGGACGGGUGAGGAAUACAUCGGAAUCUACUUUUUCGUGGGGGAUAACGUAGGGAAACUUACGCUAAUACCGCAUACGACCUACGGGUGAAAGCAGGGGACCUUCGGGCCUUGCGCGAAUGAAUGAGCCGAUGUCGGAUUAGCUAGUUGGCGGGGUAAAGGCCCACCAAGGCGACGAUCCGUAGCUGGCCUGAGAGGAUGCUCAGCCACACUGGAACUGAGACACGGUCCAGACUCCUACGGGAGGCAGCAGUGGGGAAUAUUGGACAAUGGGCGCAAGCCUGAUCCAGCCAUACCGCGUGGGUGAAGAAGGCCUUCGGGUUGUAAAGCCCCUUUGUUGGGAAAGAAAUCCAGCUGGCUAAUACCCGGUUGGGAUGACGGUACCCAAAGAAUAAGCACCGGCUAACUUCGUGCCAGCAGCCGCCGUAA